RNAcentral lists this ribosomal RNA (253 nucleotides) under uncultured bacterium. RNAcentral describes it as "partial 16S ribosomal RNA". It matches the Rfam family "Bacterial small subunit ribosomal RNA", at positions 524 to 776 of the family's 1533-position model. The record is from RNAcentral.
UACGGAGGGUGCAAGCGUUAUCCGGAUUCAUUGGGUUUAAAGGGUGCGUAGGCGGUCAGGUAAGUCCGUGGUGAAAUCUCCAAGCUUAACUUGGAAACUGCCGUGGAUACUAUUUGUCUUGAAUAUAGUGGAGGUGAGCGGAAUAUGUCAUGUAGCGGUGAAAUGCUUAGAUAUGACAUAGAACACCCAUUGCGAAGGCAGCUCGCUGGGCUAUUAUUGACGCUGAGGCACGAAAGCGUGGGGAUCAAACAGG